Papio anubis (olive baboon) is the source of this 148-nucleotide unclassified non-coding RNA. It matches the Rfam family "Metazoan signal recognition particle RNA". Rfam says of the family: The signal recognition particle (SRP) is a universally conserved ribonucleoprotein. It is involved in the co-translational targeting of proteins to membranes. The record is from Ensembl. NCBI's taxonomy places the organism in Eukaryota, Metazoa, Chordata, Mammalia, Primates, Cercopithecidae.
GCCGGGCAUGGUGGCGCAUGCCUGUAGUCCCAGCUACUCGGGAGGCUGAGGCAGCAGAAUUGCUUGAACUCAGGAGGCAGAGGUUACUGUGGGCGGAGAUCAUGCCACUGCACUCCAGCCUGGGUGACAGAGCAAGAUGUUGUCUCAA